AUGUGGGGUCCCCAUGGGUGCCCCAUAGCGCCCCCUGCGGGCCGCCGCCGUUCCCGCGCUUUGGCCCCGCCCCGCGGGGGCGGCGGGCGCGGGCGCCGCUGUGGGAGCGGCGGGGCGGGGCCGUCUCCCGGCAACGGUCGUCAUGGCAACGGCAUAACAGCGCGCCCCCCUCCGCCCUUCAAGGGGCGACGGCGUGGGUGGGGCCCGCCGGGGGGGCUCUUAAAGGGGCAGCGCCUUAAAGGGGCCGCUCCCGGCGGCGCCGCCCGGGCUGGCGCAAUAACGGCCGGAGCGGCGGGCCGGGCACCGCCCCAACCGCGCCUUCCCCCCGGGCGGGCACCGGGCACAUCCGGGCUCCCUCCCCGCUUUCAAACCGGGCCCCUCCCGCCCCGCCUUUCUCACCUGCCCCGCCCCACCCCGCGUGUCCCAAGGGCGUUGCCCCUCCACGCGCCCGAAACGGGACCGGGAGGCGCGGGGGGAGCGGGUCCCGCGGUGUCCCACGGCACCAGGAACGCUCUGCGGGGAUGUCCCCCCACCCGAGACCCGCGUCCCGAGCUCCACGUGUCGGCCGAGCGCUCCGACAGCCGGGCAUCCCCCCCGGGAUGGGGGACACCCCCGGGAGGGGGACACCCCCGGGAUGGGGACCCCUACGGCAUGGGGACCCCUACGGCAUGGGGAACCCCCCCGGGAUGGGGAACAUCCCCGGGAUGGGGGACCCCCCCCGGGAUGGGGAACCCCCCCGGGAUGGGGACCCCCCCGGGAUGGGGAACCCCCCCGGGAUGGGGACCCCCACGGAACGGGAGCCGGUGUGGCGGUGUCCCCGAUCCCUUCCAAAACACGGAGCCAGGCGUUCUCCUGACGCCCAAAACCGGGAUUCCGCCCUCCCCAAAAAUAGGGGACCCCACGUGUGGGGGUGUCCCCCAAAAAUGGGGAGCCAGGUGUCCUGCUGCCCCUCCCCCCCCAAAGCCGGUGAUCCCAGACAUCCUGCCCGGUCCCAAACCGGGACUCCCGCAUCCUCCUGGCCCCGAAUGGGCAGCCAGGCGUGUCCCCCCCGCCCCAAAGGAACGGGGCACCGAGUCCUCCUGCCCCUGCGCACCGAGCCCGGGCCCGUGUGUGUCCCGGUGUGUCCCGGUGUGUCCCCGCCGGGGCUAUCCCGCCCCCCGGUGCCCCCGGAGCCCCCAUCCCCGGCGCCCCCCGUGUCUCACGAUCUCGCCGAUGAGCACCAGCCCCUUGUGGGUGCGGCUGAAGGCGAGGCAGUUGCCGGGGCAGUUCUGGGGCCCGCUGGACUCCAUGACGGGACCGGGCGGUACCGAACGGGCGGUGGCGGUGGCGGCGGUGACGGGGGGGGGGAGGGGGGAGCGGGGGGGGCGCCCCGAGGAGCUGGCACGGCGCGGGGGCGGGGCCUGGCGGCGCGCGCCGGCACGCCAUUGGCUGGCGCGGCGCGGGUGGGCGGGGCCUGGCGGCGGGGGAAACCCCAAUUAG
Molecule: long non-coding RNA, 1479 nt
Organism: Taeniopygia guttata (zebra finch)
Lineage: Eukaryota; Metazoa; Chordata; Aves; Passeriformes; Estrildidae
Source: Ensembl